Molecule: long non-coding RNA, 6096 nt
Filed under: Daucus carota (carrot)
Lineage: Eukaryota; Viridiplantae; Streptophyta; Magnoliopsida; Apiales; Apiaceae
Description: long non-coding RNA (DCAR_LNC005805)
Source: RNAcentral
CUCAAGACGUGAUGGCAAUUUAAGCUCAACUGAUUCUUCAACAGUGUCCAUGGAGAAAACCCUCCAAUAAUAAGAGGCUUUGAGCACGGAUGCUUGUUUGUUCCUGGAAUUGGCAAGGUGGGCUUCAACAAACUGUGGGCUUGUUAUGAUGGACAGCCAGGUUUUGCAGACUGAUUUGAAGCGGAGAAGUGAUAUUACAGGAAGAUGGGAAAGUAUGAGAAAAACCAUCUCUUCGGAGAAAUAAUUAGUCGCCAUUGAGCCCUAGGAUGUUGUGUGUAUUAUAUAACAUUCAAAUGUGCAUCAGAAAGAUAAACAAGACCAUUACAAGAAUGAAAAUAACGAACCAUACUCUUACAGCAUGAUGACAAUUUGAACACUAUUAACGGCCGGUGUACUUAUUUUCUCUUGGAAUUAAGGUGGACUUCAACAAACUGAGGGUUUGUUAUAUAUAAAGAAUAGAUAGGUUUUACAAACUCAAAGCUGAAGGUGAUAUCACAAGAAGAUAUGAAUGUCGAAUAUUAUUUCUUCACAUAAAUAAUAGAUAGAUCUUUUACUCCUUAUUCAGCUGUAAUGAUGAUGAUAAAGUUGCGUUUUAGGGUUCCCGUUAUCGAACCCUAAUAUAUAUAUCCGUUGUAUUUAUUCUUACAAAUUCUGUAAAUUAUUUUAAGCUUUCUUUUCAAAAGGUUUAUCAAAGAGUUUAAAAUUAUUAAGAAAAUUAUAUACAAAAAUUUCAACCUAUUUUACAACAAAGCAGGGUGUACUUCGUAGACUCAAUGACAAGGCAUUAGACUAACCCCCUUGUGCUCUCUACAUUACACAAAUUUACGAAACAAACAAGCUGGUCCUAUUAUAAACACAUUUGCAGCAAUUAUGCUGGACUCUUCCUUUCCCAGAUAUGACCCUGCAAAAGAUUACAAGAAUGUCAGUCUAAGAAUAUCUGAUAACAUUUGGAAAAAAUGAACUCGAAAAGAAAACAAACGAUAAUUCUAUGGAAUUGAGCAUUCUUUCUUUCACAAUAUCAAAGUUACUUACCACUUCACGCUUGUGAUUCAAACCCCUCAAGAGAGACAAGGCUCUCAGUGAACUUGGCAACCGACUUGACAUCGGUGAGAUGAGCGGGGAAAGGAAGCUUCUUAGUGGUUUUCUUCUUGUAGUUGUAAAAUUUGUAUCCAAAAAUAAAAUUAAGUCCAAGAAAGUGUUGGGCGCCCAAAUAAAGAUACAUCCGAUCCAACUCUAAAUCCGUUUCAAGAUUGAACUUUUUAAUCCACAAGCCAGCAUCAUCUAACAUCCAAAGACUAAGGACUGAUUCAUCCCCAGCUGCAGAUUCAUAUACCAUAGCCAGAGAACCUUCAAAAUCCAAAAUUUUGGACUUCUUUAUCCUUUUCUGUUCCACGUUAUAAUCAAGAAACGGUAAUACUACAAGUUCUCCAAACACAUCGUUGCGCAAAUCAAACGGCAAUAGCCCACCGUCACCUUCCAAAUACAACUUCCCACUAAUAUCAGGACCACAGGAUCUCUUCAGCCUAUUCCAAAAAGAUAUUCUAAUAGUAUCCGGAAUACGAAUCUUUUUCCAAGUAUCAGCCUUUGCGGAAUACAACUGUGCUUCUGGUUUAAGAUUCAUGCUAACAAUAAAACCUCGUAAGUCACGGACAACCUUUGUUACAAUCCAAAGAAUCUUGUAGUCGUUUCCAAUAGAAUCAAAACCAAACCCUAGACAAUGCCUUACACCAAAUGCAUAGUUGGGCACAGAAAGCAUCUUAUACUGUCUAGUACACGGAUUCCAAAUACAUAUACUAUCAUAACAAUCAUUAGAAAGACAAACAAGACCAUUACAAGAACGCAUGUAACGAACCUUACCCUCCCAAUGUGAUGGCAGUUUAAGCUCAACUGAAUCUUCCACAGUGUCCAUGGAGAGAACCCUCCAAUCAUAAGAGGCUUUGAGCACAGAUGCUUGUUUCUUCUAGGAAUUAGCCAGCUGGGCUUUAACAAACUGUGGGCUUUCUAUGAUAGAUAGCCAGGUUUUGCACACAGAUUUGCAGCGUAGAAGUGAUAUUACAGGAAGAUAGGAAAGUAUGAGGAACACCAUCUCUUCGGAUAAAUAAUUAUUACAUCUUUUAGUGGCCAUUGAGCACAAGAAAUGAUUAUGAGAAUAAUAAAGUUGCGUUUUGGUGUUCAGAUAGAGGUGGUAAGAAGAGGGGUGCGAGACUAGGCAUUCUGAACCCUAUUAUAUAUAUACCCGCUGUACCCUACACAGCGAACAGACGCCUCCCUCUAUUUCUUCACUUCGCGACUCUUCGCGUAAAUUCUUUUUCUUUAUCAGGGAAAACGUCAUCAAUCUGCCUAAACAAAUCUGCGGGAAUAAUAAUUUUUGCCAUAACAAGAAUUUAUUUCUAAAAAAGUUUUAAAUUACUAAUUCUGCCGGUUAAAUAUUCUUUUUCAAAUUUUCUUUUUAUGAAUUAAAAUAUUAUACUUAUAAUUUUAUUCACAAAAGUAAAAAUUUCAAAUAGGUGAUUAAAUUACUUAAAAGUACAUGAAAAAAAGUUAGGAGACUAACAUACCCACAAAAAGAAUAAUUAAUAUUUGGUCACAUUUCUUUGAUUAGAUAUAUUUUUUGAAAAUGUGAAAUAAUUAGAGCAUGUAUCAAUUCAUAGUAGAAUAUCUUAAUGGUAUUUGAUAAAAUAAUGAAGUCUUAAAUAUAAAAACAAUUUUUACAUUAAUUUCUUGAAAUAAUUAAGUAAAGUAUUAUGUUUAUUAUAAUUCCUGAAAAUUUAAUAUUAAUGUUAUUGAUAUCGAGUAAGCAUUAUUCUGAUUGGACAAUUUUUUUUUAAAAAAAAUCAGUUCAAGGAUCAAUUCAAAAAAACAUAUGUUAUUUUACCAUCAUAACUUGUUUUAAGAUUAUAAACAAUAAGAUAAUUAAUUCUUUUAGAGUGUAAAAGAAUUGGGGCGUACCUUCAAAAAUAAAAAUCUCCUGCAAAUUCCUUUCAAAAAUAUGUUUUUAGAUCAAUUGAACUUUAAAAAUUACAAUUUAAAACUUCUCCGAUCUAAUAUGCAACUCCAUUUUUAUUAUAUUUUUCUCAAUUGAUUUGAGAAGUAAUUCCCUUUUGUAAAUCGUAACUUUCAAAAAUGAAACUUAAAAACAGAAAUUUGAAUAUAUAUUUCAGAAAACCAUUUUUUCGAAACCAAGUUAAAAGUGUAGGGUGUUUCUUUAUAAUUUCCCUAAAUAAUACUGUCAAACAAGCCCGAAAUCCGUUUGCUUGCUUUGGAUAGCAUUUUCAAGUCAAAUAAUUAAACGAAUGGGAAAAGUCAUAUCUAGAAGCACAUAAGCAACUAUAUAUAUUCAAGCUUCACUACCAUAAAAUCCACAGCAUGCAGAUGAAAAAGGAGAAGCAACUUUUACCUAUCCGUCUAAACAUAAUAAUUUUUAGCAACCAACAAAUCCAUCCAUUAUACCUAGAACCUAAACUUACAAAGCAGGGUGUACUUGGUACUCAAUGACAAGGCAUUAGACUAAAUUCACUUGUGCCAUCUACAUGCACAAUUUACAAAACAAACAAGCUGGUCCAGUUAUAAACACAUUUGCCACAAUUCUGCCCGACUCUUCCUUUCCCUUAAAUGACCCUGCAAAAGAUUGCCAAUGUCAGUCUAAUAAGCACUUGAUAACAUUUGUGAACUGUCGCAAAAUUCUUUAGAGAACCAUAUUUCACCUUGGCAUUGCAUUAUAUUACAAAAAGAUGAAACAUAAAUAAUUGUGGCUCUUUAAUUGGUAGAAGUAGCGGCUUCUUUAAGUGUAGAAGUCCAGUACACCCUUUCUGUUUAUUUUAUCCAACUUUAACUUGUUAUGCUAAUUGCUUUUGUUUUAGUUUCAUUAGUUGGAAAAUGGUGAAUGUAUUGCACUUGCAAGAAACAGUAUCAUGUGACUUGUGUCUCUGGAUUUUAAACGAAUUUCUUAGCAAGUUUAUCUAUUAUCAAUUCAAACUCUUUUAAAAAUUAUAUUAUAAUGUACCAAACACUGCACGAACUUAUAAGUCAAAUUAUCCAAACACUAAAAAAAACUUACAAGUUCAAGUAACCAAACACUUAAAUUAAUGUUUGACAAAUUAACAAUGAGUUGAGAAUAGUAUUAUUAUUAUUACACACGCACUAACAAAAUCUCCUUCACAAGUCCUGAACAAUGAGUAGAAUACAAUACAAGAUGAAUAUCUUACCUAUAUUCCUCUAUUGAAUAAAUUGAAUUUCCUUUUCUUAGUUAGACUAGCUGGUAAAAGCAAAAAUAUAAUAACAAAUCUCAAAAAAAUUCUGCAAGAUAACGGUAACAUGGUAGAUCCACAAAAAACCAGGGUAAUGGAUCCAUACAUCACAGGUACUAGAGUGUCUGAUAUACUAUAAAUGCCGAUAUCACAGAGCAUACUCAAUCUUCAACAUUUUUCCUGUUUUAGGAAUUAGAACACAGUGAGAAUAUAUUGGGAUGACAGUAUUAUGUUUAUAAUUACUGCAGGGCCUGAUAAAGAACAAUGUAUGUAAGUUGACACAUACACGCAAUCUAGCUAAGAUAUUGAAAUGAAAGAUGCCAAGGGGAUCAACCAUUAAAUCCUAAUAAAGCAGGGUAGGAGCAUAUUGACAAUGUUUGUGGAAAAAAUUGAGUAAACACAAGGCAACCAUCUGUGAUUCUUUUUUUAAGUAUACUAAUAAUCAGAUACUCAAAAACUACUAUUAAUAACUAAGACUAGAGAGCAAAGAGGGUGUUGAUAUAUGUCUAAGAAGUUGGAAAGUGCCUAUAUACUGCAAGUACUGGUAAUAACUAUAUAUGUAAGGACGUCGUCCAUCAACUCUAACUUGAUCCACAAAUCUAAGUUAGCCAAGUGAGAUUACAGGAGCAGAGAUAUCACUUAUCCAAACAAUGUAUGUAAGUUCACUUGUUUAAAUAAUUAGAGUGAAUUAGGAAGUAUAUAUACAAUGAAACUACACUUACCAAAAAAAAUAAACUCGAAAAAUAAACAAACAAUAAUUCUACAAAAUGGAGCAUUCUUACACAAUAUUAGAGUUACUUGCGACUUCAUUCUUGUGAUUGAAACCCCUCAAGGGAAACAAGGCUCUGAGUGAACUUGGCAACUGACUUGACAUCGGUGAGAUGAGCUGGGAAAGGAAGCUUCUUAGUCGUUUUCUUUGUGUAGUUGUAAAAUUUGUAUCCAAAAACAAAAUUGAGUCCAAGAAAGUGUUGAGCGCCCAAAUAAAGAUACGUCCGAUCCAACUCCAAAUCCAUUUCAAGAUUGAACUUUUUAAUCCACAAGCCAUCAUCAUCUAACAUCCAAAGACUCAUAACUGAUUCAUCCCCAGCAGAUUCAUAUACCAUAGCCACAGAACCUUCAAAAUCCAAAAUCUUAGACUUCUUUAUCCUUUUCUGUUCCACGUAAUCAGGAAACGGUAACACCACAAUUUCUCCAAACAAAUCAUUCCGCAAAUCAAACGGCAAUAGCUCACCCUCCCCUUCCAUGUACAACUUCCCACUAAUAUCAGGACCACAGAAUCUCUUCAGCUUAUGCCAAAAAGACAUUUUAAUAGUAUCCGGAGUACGAAUCAUUUUCCAGGUAUCAGCAUUUGCGGAAUACAACUGUGCUUCUGAGAAGUUACCCAUGUUAAUAAUAAAACCCCAUGUGUUACGGGUAACCUUUGUUACAAUCCUAAGAAUCUUGUAGUCAUUUCCAACAGAAUCAAACCCAAACCCUAAACAAGCCCCGACAUUAUUUAUUGAAUAGUUGGGGGCAUUAAGCAUCUUAUACUGUCUAGUACACGGAUUCCAAAUACAAAUAUCAUAACUACUUUCAUUGGAAAGACAAACAAGACCAUUACAAGAACGCAUGUAAUAAACCAUACCCUCAAGACGUGAUGGCAAUUUAAGCUCAACUGAUUCUUCAACACUGUCCAUGGAGAAAACCCCCCAAUAAUAAGAGGCUUUGAGCACGGAUGCUUGUUUGUUCCUGGAAUUGGCAAGGUGGGCUUCAACAAACUGUGGGCUUUUUAUGAUGGAUAGCCAGGUUUUGCAGACUGAUUUGAAGCGGAGAAGUGAUAUUACAGGAAGAUAGGAAAGUAUGAGAAAAA